Molecule: non-coding RNA, 24 nt
Filed under: Rattus norvegicus (Norway rat)
Lineage: Eukaryota; Metazoa; Chordata; Mammalia; Rodentia; Muridae
Source: RNAcentral
UGGUCCUUCCUGUUCCUAUCCUCA